GAAAAAUAUCCAUAUCAUAGAAUACCAACAGGUAAGCUGUUUGGCUGAAUUUUCCAGCAUCUUAGGGCACAGCUCCUCAAGCACCCCACAAGGUUCACCACAUCCAGACCCUAAGGCUUCAAGACGAAUAUGGAUAUUUGCAGUUCUUCCAAAGGAUGUUGCAAAAGUGUUACGUAGACCUAAUAUUUUAUUUACUAAUGAGUUGAAGUUCACAAGAGGUGGUGUCACGAAUUCUCAUAAUCAUCUUGUGUGGUCUGAUGAAAAUCCCCUUGCAGUCACAGAAAGAGAUUAGCAGCACUAUUUCUCAAUCAACAAUCUGGCAGGAACAUUUCACAGACAUGGGGAUUUCUUAUCCUCCAGAUCUCAAUUCUCAAGAUUUGAUUACGAAGACACUUGAAGUGACGUAUAGACGCCAUAGGAUCAUGUGUUCAAUGCAU
This is a long non-coding RNA of Schistocerca piceifrons (Central American locust), 437 nucleotides long. RefSeq lists it as uncharacterized. NCBI's taxonomy places the organism in Eukaryota, Metazoa, Arthropoda, Insecta, Orthoptera, Acrididae. The transcript has 3 exons. The record is from RefSeq and is a predicted model, not a curated record.